RNAcentral lists this long non-coding RNA (570 nucleotides) under Glycine max (soybean). RNAcentral's name for it is "long non-coding RNA (GMAX_LNC004392)". Lineage: Eukaryota; Viridiplantae; Streptophyta; Magnoliopsida; Fabales; Fabaceae. The record is from RNAcentral.
AUUGUUUGUGUUUUGUUGCAGUUGGUGACUUGAAUCACUUGAUCUCCGCAACCAUGAGUGGUGUUACAUGCUGUCUUCGUUUCCCUGGUCAACUCAACUCUGAUCUGAGGAAACUGGCCGUGAAUCUCAUCCCUUUCCCUCGUCUGCACUUCUUCAUGGUUGGAUUUGCGCCUCUCACCUCUCGUGGCUCUCAGCAGUACCGUGCAUUGACAGUUCCAGAGCUGACACAGCAAAUGUGGGAUGCCAAGAAUAUGAUGUGUGCCGCUGAUCCCAGGCACGGGCGUUACCUCACGGCAUCAGCCAUGUUCCGUGGCAAGAUGAGCACGAAGGAGGUGGAUGAGCAGAUGAUAAACGUGCAGAACAAAAACUCUUCGUACUUUGUCGAGUGGAUUCCCAACAAUGUCAAGUCGAGUGUGUGUGACAUUGCUCCUAGAGGGCUCUCCAUGGCGUCCACAUUCAUUGGAAACUCGACCUCGAUUCAGGAGAUGUUCAGGAGGGUGAGCGAGCAGUUCACGGCCAUGUUUAGGAGGAAGGCUUUCUUGCAUUGGUACACUGGUGAAGGCAUGGACG